This 2044-nucleotide unclassified non-coding RNA is filed under the name uncultured fungus. RNAcentral's name for it is "sequence contains 18S rRNA gene, ITS1, 5.8S rRNA gene, ITS2, 28S rRNA gene". The stretch from base 900 to 2044 matches the Rfam family "Eukaryotic large subunit ribosomal RNA", at positions 1 to 961 of the family's 3401-position model. Lineage: Eukaryota; Fungi. The record is from RNAcentral.
GGAAGGAUCAUUACCACACCGAUCAACGAUCAACAUCCCUGUGAAAUUGUGAGAGUUUUUCUUUUUUAUACAACCGGUUUCUUAUUUGUCCUUUCUUUUUUGUGACUCGGGCGACGGGCUUCUGGCCUGUUAUCGAUGGAACAAGAAGAAAGCAAAGGGAAACGAUACACACAAACACCACGAAACCAAACCUUCUGAAACCAAACAAACAACUGUCCUUGAGGUCGGCGGUGGGCGGCGCGCAACCUUGCGCUCUCGCUUAUCACUAACUCCUCGAGGCGGCCAAAUGUCUUAUAAUCUGAAACAACUUUCAGCGAUGGAUAUCUUGGCUCUCGCAACGAUGAAGAACGCAGCGAAAUGCGAUACGUAAUGCGAAUUGCAGAAUUCAGUGAAUCAUCAAACCUUUGAACGCAAAUUGCGCUUCCGGGUAUCCCUGGGAGCAUGCCUGUAUGAGUGUCUGUUAACACCACUCACGUCUCUCUCUUCUCUCUCCCUCUCUCCUUCUUCGUGAAGGUGGAGCAGGAGGAGGAGGAGGAGGAUCGUGGACUUUGAGAUGUCCUAGACGCUGUCUGUGGCUGUCUAUGUCUCUUGAAAUGUGGAGUAGGAAGCUCACCCACCGUCAAGCCGUACCUAGGAAACGAAGUUGGUUUGGCUGUUUCAAAAAAGAGUUGUUUCUCUUCUCUCCAUCUCAAGCGUGGUAGUUGUGUAACUUUGUUUACGCAUCCCAAACGCUGUGAGUCUGGUGCAGUUGUGGACGACUUGCUUUUUUCAAUAAAAGUUUUUGUCACAGUUGGUGGUGUGUUCAUUCCCUACCGCAAAGAGUAAGCAGCAUAGUACUGUUGAGAGGGAGAUCACAACUCCCCCGCCAGCUGUGCUUCGCCUGCCUAACCCUCUUUCUUGGACCUCAUAUCAAGCAAGAAGACCCGCUGAAUUUAAGCAUAUAACUAAGCGGAGGAAAAGAAACUAACCAGGAUUCCCCUAGUAACGGCGAGUGAAGCGGGAAGAGCUCAACUUGAAAAUCGGUGCGGCCCUGCCGCUCUGAAUUGUAGUCUAUAGAAGCUGUUGUCAGUCACGGUCUCGGGACAAGUCUCUUGGAACAGGGCAUCAUAGAGGGUGACAAUCCCGUCUGUGCCCGGGAAUCCGUGACGUACGGCACGCUUUCAACGAGUCGAGUUGCUUGGGACUGCAGCUCAAAAUGGGUGGUAAAUUCCAUCUAAAGCUAAAUAUGGGCGAGAGACCGAUAGCGAACAAGUACCGUGAGGGAAAGAUGCAAAGAACUUUGAAAGAGAGUUAAAAAGUACUUGAAAUUGCUGAAAGGGAAGCGAAUCAAACCAGUGUUGAUGCGCGGUCAUCUUUCAGUGGGGAGUGCUCUUGGCUGCGUGUCGGUGAGGUGUCACACCCCUCCGCUGUAGUUCCUUUGGGUCCUUUCCGCUGCGUUGUGGCCGCGCGUAGCUCAGCAUCAGUUCUUGUUUCCGCGGGAUAGGGUACGUGGGGAGGUAGAGUACGGCUCCGUCGUGCUUGUUAUAGCCUGCGUAUCGUGUCGUGGAGAGGACUGAGGAAUUCAUCACAGUGUACGCCUUUUCGGCUGGGUGCGUCGCGCUCUGGUGAGGUGUUCGGAUUGGACUGCUUGCAGUGCUGUCUGUACCACUUGCCACGGUCCGGCGUUGUCCAUGUACGCUCGGGAUGCUGAGGAAAUGGUUUGAUCCGGCCCGUCUUGAAACACGGACCAAGGAGUCUAACAUUUAUGCGAGUAUUCGGGUGGCAAACCCUUGUGCGCAAUGAAAGUGAAGGUUGAUGUAGGUCAACCGAGGUAGGACGGGUGGCUUCGGCUGCCCCGCACUAUCGACCGGCCAUGAUCCUCUGGAGAAAGGUCUGAGUGUGAGCAUAUAUGUUGGGACCCGAAAGAUGGUGAACUAUGCCUGAAUAGGGUGAAGCCAGGGGAAACUCUGGUGGAGGCUCGUAGCGAUUCUGACGUGCAAAUCGAUCGUCAGAUUUGGGUAUAGGGGCGAAAGACUAAUCGAACCAUCUAGUAGCUGGUUCCCUC